GACUAGUGUCGCAGUGAAGGUGCUAAGAACACAUAUUCUAGCUAGAGAUGUAUCAUGUUUUAACACAUGGACUGCGACGGACGCAGGUUACUACUGUCGUGACUAACCUAAAGUCGGUACCUGAAUAGUGUCGCAGUGAAGGUGCUAAGAACACAUAUUCUAGCUAGAGAUGUAUCAUGUUUUAACACAUUGACUGCGACGGACGCAGGUUACUACUGUCGUGACUAACCUAAAGUCGGUACCUGAUUAGUGUCGCAGUGAAGGUGCUAAGAACACAUAUUCUAGCUAGAGAUGUAUCAUGUUUUAACACAUUGGACUGCGACGGACGCAGGUUACUACUAUCGUGACUAACCUAAAGUCGGUACCUGAAUAGUGUCGCAGUGAAGGUGCUAAGAACACAUAUUCUAGCUAGAGAUGUAUCAUGUUUUAACACAUUGACUGCGAUGGACUCAGGUUACUACUAUCGUGACUAACCUAAAGUCGGUACCUGACUAGUGUCGCAAUGAAGGUGUUAGCAACACAUAGCUAGGGAUGUAUCAUAUUUUAACACAUUGUCUGCAACUGAAACAGUUUACUACUACCCUGGUUGUAAAAAAGGUAGAUGACUAGUUAAGUUAGAAAUGGAUAGUAAACUCAUACUUACUUUUUUUAACAUUUUUUGAGUAGUUAAAAUGUCCACUAUUAUACAGAACCACUUAAACUUAUUAAUCCUCAAGACUGGAUAAAAGUUUAAGUUACUGAAAUUAUUCACCACAGUUGAUGUACAACAUGGUUCGUCCAUCCACAUAAUCAGAAUUGACUGUAUAAAUUUACAUUGUUAUAAAUUUUAUAACCUAUGGUAUAUAGGUAUUAUAUUAAGUUAAUGGAUAUAGUUUAUUCCAACUACUCUUAAGCCAUGAAUUUUGUUACAUUUUAUAGUUGUAAUUAUAAAUUUGUACCUUUCUUUUUGAAAAAAAUGUUUUUAAUAUUUUUAACAUACUUGUAAAGUACAUAUUGAUAGAGAAUAGUGAAGUAUUAGUGCUACCUUUAUAAAAAAAUAUUUCAUGGCAUUCCUAGUAAUGCAGUAUAUAGUAAAAUACCACAUCAGAAAAUGGCUUUUCACUUUCAUGUAUUGCAUAGAUUUUAAUGGAAUAGUAGACAUAAUAUUUAACCUUGAACACACUAUAGACAUCUGAAGUGUCAGCUUUCACACGCUUAAAGUACCAUUAAUGCCUCUGACAUCAUUGUAUAUCAUUAUUUAUGAACUGUUAACUAUUCUGAUACUUAUGUUAACUGCAAUGAAUGAAAACCAAUGAAGUUCUCUUUCUCUCUGUAAACCUUUGAAUAGUCCGGAAGUUUUUGUUCUUCAUGGCUGUUAACAGAAUGAAUGAAUUUUAAAAUGUGGUUUGUAUAUUAGGCUAGUAGUGUGCACGUAUACAAAAUUAUAAAAUACAACAUUUCGACCACUUAAAUUAGUCUGUUGUUACAAGAAUAUAAUUACCAAAUUAGUUUGUAUGAAGCCAAUCAGAUUUAUGCAUUAUCUACAAAUUUACCUAAGUUGCUUCUUUAUUAAAAUAAUUUUUAAAAUAUCAACAAAUUCAACGUAGGGCCAAUGUUAUAAUUCUAUAUCCCAUUAGGUCAGUAAGCACUGUUAUGAGGGUCAAUUAAUGACAUGUCAUUAAUAAUUCUGGAUAUUUUCAAAAGCUCAUUGAUCAUUGGGUUAGCUCUUAAAUUAAUUGUGUUUUUUAUUUGUAACAUACUUAUUUAUGACCAUUUUGCCUAUCAGAUAUCAGUAGUCACUAUAGAUAAACCACUCGUAAAGAAACCUGUGCAGAAGCAAAUAUCUGAGCAGCCACACCGGCAGGGAGGUGUGGAGAGCGGUGGUGGGGAGUGGGACCAGCAUCUUCUUGUAUUUGUUUAUCAGCUUUGUGGGUUGUGUCUCGCUCUCACAGUUUUGUUUACAUUGCGGCUACUUACCUGUUCUAUAACUAUAUUUAUUUUUAUGUGUAGGCCUAUACAAGUGUUGCAGUCUAAUUGUAAAAUAUUGAUUGAACAGACACAUGUAGCUAUAUACGUAUCCAGGGAGCUUUCAGUUUAUUGUGAGGUUAGCCGCGCAGUGGCAGUGGUCAGUAGGGUCGGUCAGGUGAACGAGUAAUUCGUAUCAGAGUGUUUAAAAAGACCCCGUUCACCUCGAACGUUUCGUUCAAAUUUUCCUGCCGGCUGAACAAAUUUUAUAUUUUUCCAAGUCGGAUACAUUAUAAGUAUUAACAUUUAGAUAUUUAGCAAUGUAUCUGGUAAGUUACAAUUAAAUGUUUUAAAUCAGUUUUAAUUGAUACAUUUACAAGAUUACUGAAACAAUACAUGUAUUGUUAUAUAUCUAUUCAUUCACUUUACAAUAAGCUGUUUCUUCCUCUAUUCGUUCACUUUUUUGCAAGCGGAUCCUUUCGAUCGCUCGGUAAUUCUGUUCUGUCCUUCAUCCAUUCAUUUUGUUCGUUCAACAUGAUGACCAAUAUAACACGCUCUAGCAGGAAGGCUCAGUAACUCUGUACUGACCGGUUCAAUUGAACGGAUCACAGCAGUGAACAAGACCGACUGAGCCGGAUCAGUCAGAUGAUCCGAUAGAGCGAGCGUCGUGCAGUGGUGGAGAUACUGGGAGAGGGCGGCAUCACAUCGCGAAGGGGUAUUUACUCCCCACCCUGUGUGAACUCAAGUCACCCAGGGUCUUUUUGUAAGCGGUUUACCUAUAAAAUGCAUUGUUCUUAUUUGAUUAUUUUUAAAUUAUUGUACUGAUAAUGUUGUGAUACUAAUUGUGUACAAUAAAGAGCUUUUUCAGUGAUUAUAUUCACACCUGUUAUUAUUCUUGGGGUGUGUGAGACUUUGGGGACUCUCACGGGUUUAAAACUUUGUGCAGAAUACUUUGGGUGCUUAUGCUUGUGAAACAAGAGGGUAUGGAUUAUUAUGCAUGGAUUAAAUGGACACCUAUUUUUAAAAACAUUUUAAUGAGAGCACUUUUGGUAAAUCGUGUGAAACUUUUGCUCACUAGACCGUGUUAUAUAAUUAAAACUUAUAAUACAUAAACUUUUCCGUACUGGAAUUUGAAACUGGCUAUAAGCACUAUUGUAUUUGAUACCCUGUUUGUUAGGUACUUUUUUAAUGAUUUCACAUUAAAAAUUGAGAAGAUUGUUCAUUAUUUAAAAAAUUAAACACUCCAAUAAAUUUUAUUCCAAACAAUCUGGUUUGCAAAUAAUAGAGAUGUAAGAAACACAAGAAAUGUUAGAAGAAGUAGUACUGCUGACUGUGAACUGUAAUAAACACUUGUUUAUUUUUUAUUUGACCACUAUUGCUGAUCAUUUUUUAAACUUCACAAAUAUCUUGAUAGAAUACUUGAGUUGAUAUUAUAUAAUCUCUAUUUAAUAACUAGUCAAAGAUAAUGUUGUUAACUACCUUUAUAUUUCUAUUGUUUUCGGGGAUGAUUCCCUUACAGUUAUAUUUUUGAAGUAGCGUGAGAAUGUAUUAGUAAAUUAAAAUUAUUAGAUCGAGAUAGUAUAUUAUAUUAAUAAAUUAUUACGAUAUUAUAUCAUGUAGAAAUAGUUUUAGAUUAUUAUUAGAUCAUCACGCAAAAAAUUAAACUAUGUUAUUGCUAAUAAUGUUAAUACAAUUGACAAUCCUUUUUGCAAGGUUGUUUUGUUUGUGUCUUUGCAGCUACAAAAAAACAAAUUGUAUGUUUUUGUAUUUUGUUUUGAGGAAAUUGGUACUUUACAUGGUAGAAACCUGGAGAAAUCUUCCUUUAUGGACAGUUUGAAAAUUUAGAUUUUUAUCUGUGGACAAGCUACCAUCUUGACAUUUUAUAGAUUUUAUUGUCAGUGGUGGUAGCAUUGAAAAUCUAACAAGGAGUGAAAACAUAUGUUUGCUUUUGCUUUGAGCCAUGAAAUAUACUUGUUUAUAUUUAAAUUUCCGUUUGUAAUAACUACCCCACUAAAUUUUGUUUACAGCAACAGUUAAUAAUUAUGCUAAUACAAGUAGAUAUAAAUAUGGGGUUCCUGGCUCACUUUUGGGACAGACAGAAAAUCAAUGUAAAUCUCUGUACAAACAUAAAACGUAAAAACAUACGUGGAAAACAAAAAAUUAAUAUUUAAAAUGUAAAAAUCUGAAUUUACAAUUACUUUAACGUUACUUUUUUAAGUUUUUCAUGUUUUACCUGUUAAUUUGAAAAUGUUUGUUUGUUGAAACCGAAAAAACAAAUUUAUUCAAGCCAAUUUUGUAGGUACAUCAUUUUACCAAGUUUAGUUAGAACCAGCUAGACAUUACGGCAGCUAUUGUGAUCACUGUUAACUUCUCAAAACUUGGUUUUAAUUAUUUUUAGCAGCUAUUAAUCACUUUGGCAACAUAUUAAAUUGGCCUUCCUCCUUCAGCCGAGUAACUUUUCCUCAAUAUUUAAUCUAAGUUCAAUUAUUUAAAGUUAUAACAUGCAUUGUAAUUUUAUGUAAUUACACUUUACAGAACUAGAAAUACUACAAAAACUGUAUUGUAUAUAAGUAAAAUUGCAAAUGAAUGUAAUAUGGUCUAAUUAAUAGGAGGAAGUCAGUAGAAAAGUAUUGAAGGAUAAGAAAAAAUAUAUAGAUAAAGUAAUUAAUAUUAAACUUGGGUUCUAAACCAGUUUAGUUUUCAUGAUUACAUUGUAUUUCAAUUUUUUACAAUUGUUUAUAUUAAUAUGGAGCGGAUUUAGAAGUGUGAAGACAAAUAUUUUUUAUUUUUGACACAGAUAUGUGGUUUAAGGAAUAGAAGUAACAAUUGUGGAUUCAGUGUUUAUUUUUGUACUUUCACCUUGUAAAUAUGGCAGAAUGGAUAUUAAAUGGAUGGAUUGAAUAUCCGAUGCUAUUUUUGUAAGUCAUACUUAAGCUUAAAUAGCCUUAUUCGCCCAGAAGCAACUUGGUGGUCCAAUAUCGACCAAAUCCUGUAUUCACACUCUAGUAUUUAUUGCAACCGUUUUUAACCAUUUCAGUGUUGGUUUUGCGGAUAGCAAAGUAAAGUGCACUGCUGGAUUUUUGUCCUGAUUUUAUUUACAAUUAUUUUAAUAUUUAUUUUGAAGGGCGUGGUACUUGGAGUGCACCAGUCCUUAGACAUUAUACUUAACUUUAAAUAGUUAAUAAACAAUAAGCAAAAUUAGGCCAACAGAUGUAUUAGGGAACGCUAUGAGAAACUACGUAAUAUGAUGGUAUGCAAUAGAAAAAGAACGUAGCAGUUUGGCACAAUCUAAUCAUCUAAUACGUAAUUUUGUAGUACGUAAUUCAUUAUUAGGCCACAAUAUAUCACUAGGUACUAAUGCUGCUUUUCAUCAUUAGAAAGCGGAAUGUGUGAGAAAUGUCAGCUACACAGCAGGGAACUAUGAUAAUUAAGUUCUGAUCGCAUAAUCCACCCAGAAAAUGCAGUGGUUGCCAGUAAACAGCAAAUGUUUUGUAGUAGUGACAGUGCAGCUGCUGAAAACAUGUUUACGCAUAUACAUGAUUUUUACUUGAAUAUACAGCAGUUAAGAGGUGAAAGGAAGGGUUUACAAAAAUUGUACUGUUUCAUCAUAUAUUUUUGUUUGUGUUAAUGUUUGUUUAGUUACCUUGUUGUUCUAUUACGACAAGAAGUUUAGAAAUCGCAUUUAGAAAAAGGACCUUUGUGCUGCUUCUAGAGUGAUGGGAUAUUCUGGAUGGGUUGGUGGUUGGGCCACCUUCUGUUGAGAUCCAUGAGGAAGGAUUUUGGGCAUUAAUCUCAGUCAUGUUUCCUUGGAAGAAAAAGAAAGCCAGCUCUGUAUCAGUCUCUCCAGUCAAAGCAGGCAGGGGUGGCACGUCUCAUGUCCAGGCUAGCAUCUGCCUUUAACACUUACGGAACCCCACCAACUCCAACAGUCGUCUCCCGCAGUAUACUAGACCUAUUGAUCUACCCUUGCACCCCAAUAUCUCAACAUUUGCAGUCAAUGAUGUGCCGCUCCUGGAUAUCCAAUUGGUUGUCCAGAUGAAAGUGAUACUAGAUUUUUACUGUACCCAGUAUAGUUACCGAAUUCUGUUGGUGCUACAAUCAGGUGCUAUUUACAAGAAGUGAAAGUUCGACAACUAGGGUUAACACUUUGGGUUCGGCCAGGACAGUGCCUAUUACCUAUGUCACGCUGUAAUGCUCUAUUUUUUUAUUUAUUUAUUCGAAUCCAAUGAACCUUUUUAUGUCAAAUUUUUUUAGCUCACAUAAUACUUAUAUUUUCUUAAAAGAAUAUAUUGAAAAUUCUGAUGUAUUUCAUUUGAUUCCUGUUUUCAAUUUAUUUUUUAGACUCAACAUUUUUAAAAUUGAAUUUUUCCAUUGUUUUGAAUAUAUGUGAAUCAAAUUUCAGUUCCCUGCCAGAUUACAAAGAGGGUUUUAAGAAAAGGUUAUUUAAUCAACAAGUUGAUUUUAUCACAUAAGUAAUAAAUAAAUUCGUCCAAUUAUGUUCAUAUUUAUGCAUUACUAAGGUCUCAUGUAUCCUCACUUUCGGACCAAUGCCCCAUUAGGUUCGACAUAGAGGUGAUAGGGGAGAUAAACAUGACCCACAGAGUUCCUAAAUCUACCAACUGGAAGGGAUACCGAGUGUCCCUAGCCAAAGAGUUGGAGGAAGUGGAACCCUACCAGAAAAAUGAACUUGAAAGGCAGAAAGGAGGUUUUGUCUCCUCUCCUGUGGGUGAUGGUGGUUGAUGACCUUCUAACUAGAGCAGAGAAGAGGGGAAUUCUUCAAAAUGAAAAAGCAGAUAUUCUCGCCAAAAAGGGAGCUGGAGUCCAUUAUGGUGGGGCCAGAGCCAGGUUGCGAGAUAGUUUUCUCCAACAGCAAAGCUCUUGUAAAAGAUUGGGAAAAUAGGAUAAGAACCUUUAAUUGGAGUAGAGCCUCAGGAUUAAGAAAAUCUAAAAUGUUUAUCUCUCCUUAUGCUAAAGGGUGGGCAUCUCUCCUAGAUCAGAGUAAGUAGGAUGUAAGACUGAUAUUAGGGAUGUUGACAGGACAUGGCUCCCUUAGGAAAUUAGGAAAAGAUUCCUGGGAGCAUAUCUUCUCAGCCCCAAGGACAUCAGAAUGUCUCAGAUUCUGAGAACACAAAUGUAUGGAAGGGAGGCACAAAGGUCCUUUUUAGGACUAAGCGCAGGGACAAACCGUCUUUUUCCCCCAGGAUAAAAAAAGGUCUCGUGUAAUGGGAUUGUGGAAUUUUUUGUUCUCUUUGGAUAAGAAGCUGUGAAAUUGGACUAGGUCCUAAAAGGACCUUUACACUGCUUCCAGAGUGACAGGUUAUUUUGGAUCGGUAGGGUUGUGGAAAGGGACCGCUCCUGUCAAGCUCCUUGAGAAAGGAUUUUGAGUGCUAAUCUCAGUCAUGUCUCCUUGGAAGAAGAGGAGGCUAUCUCUGGACUAGCCUCUCCAGUCAUUAUA
RNAcentral lists this long non-coding RNA (7399 nucleotides) under Homalodisca vitripennis (glassy-winged sharpshooter). RNAcentral describes it as "uncharacterized LOC124363165". The record is from RNAcentral. Lineage: Eukaryota; Metazoa; Arthropoda; Insecta; Hemiptera; Cicadellidae.